Molecule: unclassified non-coding RNA, 242 nt
Filed under: Hevea brasiliensis (rubber tree)
Lineage: Eukaryota; Viridiplantae; Streptophyta; Magnoliopsida; Malpighiales; Euphorbiaceae
Source: RNAcentral
GAGAAAGAACAUAUUGGAAUUAUCUUUGCUUUUGGUCUCUCCAUAAUAAUUACGUACUUAUGUUGAUGAAGAUUGUUGUAUAUUUUAACGUGUUAUGGACUUGUUGCAUUUUGAGCAAAAUCCUUAUUUGAGUUGUACUUUGCUAGCUCUUGCAACAAGUCCAUAACACGUUAAAAUAUACAGCAAAUUAGCACUCUGUGGUACGCAGGUAAAUAACAUUUUUUUUUUUUGAGAAAACAAAA